This 440-nucleotide ribosomal RNA is filed under the name uncultured bacterium. Its description in RNAcentral is "partial 16S ribosomal RNA". It matches the Rfam family "Bacterial small subunit ribosomal RNA", at positions 338 to 795 of the family's 1533-position model. The record is from RNAcentral.
CCUACGGGUGGCAGCAGUGGGGAAUAUUGCACAAUGGGGGGAACCCUGAUGCAGCGACGCCGCGUGAGUGAAGAAGUAUUUCGGUAUGUAAAGCUCUUUCGGACGUGACGAUGAUGACGGUAGCGUCUAAAGAAGCACCGGCAAACUUCGUGCCAGCAGCCGCGGUAAUACGAAGGGUGCGAGCGUUGUUCGGAAUUACUGGGCGUAAAGGGAGUGUAGGCGGAUAUGUAAGAUAGCGGUGAAAUGCCGGGGCUCAACCCCGGAACUGCCAUUAUGACUAUGUAUCUAGAGUAAUGGAGAGGAUAGCGGAAUACCCAGUGUAGAGGUGAAAUUCGUAGAUAUUGGGUAGAACACCGGUGGCGAAGGCGGCUAUCUGGCCAUUUACUGACGCUGAGGCUCGAAAGCAUGGGGAUCAAACAGGAUUAGAUACCCCUGUAGUC